Manacus vitellinus (golden-collared manakin) is the source of this 689-nucleotide long non-coding RNA. NCBI's taxonomy places the organism in Eukaryota, Metazoa, Chordata, Aves, Passeriformes, Pipridae. The record is from Ensembl.
CCCCAGGGCACUGGGGUACACAGAUUCCCUGACCUCGAGCUGCUUCCAAGGGUCACUGCAACACCAGCGGGGCUGGGGCUGAGUUCAGGGCUGCUGUGAGCUGCAGAAACUCUUUCUCCUGACAGCUCCUGCGCUGUUCAGUUUGGAUCAGGAUGGCUCAGGCACCUUCCAGCACGGUGCUCCAGAGAGGGAGGGACAGACAGUGCCAAGGAGCCAUCCCAUGUCCAAACAACAGUCAGAUCCGGGGAACUACGAGGAAAUAGUUCAGUUGAGCAUCUCUGUUCUGUUCCCAAACGUGUCUGGAGGCAAUGGAGAUGCAGGUUCUGGAUCUGGCUCUCCUGGAGGUCACAUGGAUACAUCCUCCCUUUGGGAACUGCCAGCUCAGAGCCCAACUGUGAGCGAGGCACCUCCUGCAGGUCCAAAGAACGGGACUGAACCUGGAGACAUUUACUGGCAGUUGGAGGAAACGCUGACUGAGGUCCUGGGUGCCCUGAAGGAGAUACCUGAUGUUGUGGAGCUCGAGACUGUGGAGGUACCUCAGGAAGGCCAUCAGGAGGUGCCAUUCCCUGGGGAAAAGCCGAGGGCUGCUCAGCCCACAGGAGGGUCAGGUAAUCGCUGUCCCUGGGCCACCCGAGGGAGGAGGGUGUGGCUGUGCCAGGGACACGCUCUGGGACCCUCUGGGCAUGUGG